GUGCCAGCAGCCGCGGUAAUACGGAGGGUGCAAGCGUUAAUCGGAAUUACUGGGCGUAAAGGGCGCGUAGGCGGUGUGUCACGCCGGGUGUGAAAGCCCCGGGCUCAACCUGGGAAUGGCAUCCGGAACGGGCAGGCUAGAGUGCAGGAGAGGAAGGUAGAAUUCCCGGUGUAGCGGUGAAAUGCGUAGAGAUCGGGAGGAAUACCAGUGGCGAAGGCGGCCUUCUGGACUGACACUGACGCUGAGGUGCGAAAGCGUGGGUAGCAAACAGGAUUAGAAACCCUGGUAGUCC
RNAcentral lists this ribosomal RNA (292 nucleotides) under uncultured prokaryote. RNAcentral's name for it is "partial 16S ribosomal RNA". It matches the Rfam family "Bacterial small subunit ribosomal RNA", at positions 505 to 796 of the family's 1533-position model. The record is from RNAcentral.